CAUGUAAUUCCUACAAUGUUAAUGCACUAUAUCCCAUUAGAACUUUGUAGUUAAGCAUGCUUGGGCUAGAGUACUGGGAUGGGUGACCUACUCGGAAGUCCUAAUAUUUUACAUGC
Picea glauca (white spruce) is the source of this 116-nucleotide non-coding RNA. NCBI's taxonomy places the organism in Eukaryota, Viridiplantae, Streptophyta, Pinopsida, Pinales, Pinaceae. The record is from Rfam.